GGCGACAUCGCCAAGUGGUAAGGCAGGAGUCUGCAAAACUCCCACCCCCAGUUCGAAUCUGGGUGUCGCCU
This 71-nucleotide transfer RNA is filed under the name Candidatus Gastranaerophilales bacterium. RNAcentral's name for it is "tRNA-Cys". It matches the Rfam family "tRNA". From Rfam's summary of the family: Transfer RNA (tRNA) molecules are approximately 80 nucleotides in length. Lineage: Bacteria; Bacillati; Candidatus Melainabacteria; Candidatus Gastranaerophilales. The record is from RNAcentral.